This 1094-nucleotide long non-coding RNA is filed under the name Androctonus crassicauda. Lineage: Eukaryota; Metazoa; Arthropoda; Arachnida; Scorpiones; Buthidae. The record is from RNAcentral.
GAUAUUUUCAAUUAACAUGUAAUUUCACCUGAAAAUAUUUUAUAUAAUCUGAAAUGAAAAUGUCAGUAUAAAUGUAAAGGAUAGGAAUUCGAGUUGGAUAUGAAGUGAUUUUCUCCCAACUUUAAGACUCCAUUCUUUUCUUAUUAUUUAUUAAAAUAAAGCUGAGAGAAAAAUUUGGAAGGGAGAGCGACGCAAUGAUAGAAAUACGAUAAUGUUUUUUCCAGCUGGUAGACUCAUGUUUUUUCAGUUUAAGUUAAAAACAAAUUAUAAGGAUAAAAUGAUAGCAAAAAUAAUAUUAUUACACGCGGGUGUUAUGUGAAUUUAACGAGAAGUCGAUAAUUGGAAGACAAAACUAAAUGUAUUGUCUUUCCGUAAAAAGACAAUGAAAGAGAGGUCAGUUUUCUGCUGGGUGUUUAACUGUAUAAGAAUUUGUUUUGGAGUUGUGAGGCGGACAAGCAUCCGAGCCGGACAAGUACCCAGAGGCAAACCCAAGAAGGCGGACCUAGAAGGAACAAUUCGUUCUGUUUUCGAAUCUGGAUCAAGUAAGAAGAAUCCUAUUCAACGGUAUGUCAGCCGACAGAAAAUUUUGUAUGAACACUCUGCUGUUUUCUUUUUUCACCAACCGAUAGUGAAAGGUAUUCUCCCAUCAUUAAAUAGUGAAGACUCAUUCCAUCCCAAGACUUGAAGGAUUCAUAGAAGAAUAUCUAAUUAGAAAAUAGUUAUAAUAACAGAAGGUAUUUCUUCUGCCACUCUUGUCGGGAUAAUCUGUAAGUGGAAAUCCUUCGUAAAGAGGAACAGUCGCGGUUAUUUUUUGACUGUAGUUUCUGUCUGCAGCUUUCACUUCAGCCUCAUCACCUGUCCUUACCCGCAAGACGCCGUUCACAGCAAUGAAGCUUAACUCCUGUCAGUUUCGUGUUGGUCCUGUUCGCUUUACACACCAGAAAGAUGAAAGCAGCUGAAAGUUGGCUAUAGGACCAUGAACAGAACUCUCUUAAAAUUGAAUGAAUCUAGGCUGCCAUAAGUUAUAAUUCUGUUUUUUUGAGUAAAUUAAAAAUACACGUUAAAUAUUAAGAGACUUCAAUAGAAAGAUUAGC